RNAcentral lists this non-coding RNA (27 nucleotides) under Bombyx mori (domestic silkworm). Lineage: Eukaryota; Metazoa; Arthropoda; Insecta; Lepidoptera; Bombycidae. The record is from RNAcentral. RNAcentral also lists the same sequence under 1 other name.
UAGCACCGGGUACUUCUCGGCAAGUAA